AGAAUGAACGCUGGCGGCGUGCCUAACACAUGCAAGUCGAACGAGAAAGUGGAGCAAUCCAUGAGUAAAGUGGCGCACGGGUGAGUAACACGUGACUAACCUACCCUUGAGUGGGGGAUAAACCUAGGGAAACCUGGGCUAAUACCGCAUAAUACCUUCGGGUCAAAGGAGCAAUUCGCUUAAGGAGGGGGUCGCGGCCGAGUUAGUUAGUUGGCGGGGUAAUGGCCCACCAAGACUGUGAUCGGUA
RNAcentral lists this ribosomal RNA (247 nucleotides) under uncultured bacterium. RNAcentral's name for it is "partial small subunit ribosomal RNA". It matches the Rfam family "Bacterial small subunit ribosomal RNA", at positions 26 to 285 of the family's 1533-position model. The record is from RNAcentral.